GACAGAGGGUGCAAACGUUGUUCGGAAUUACUGGGCGUAAAGCGCGCGUAGGCGGCUUUGUAAGUUAGAGGUGAAAGCCCGGGGCUCAACCCCGGAACUGCCUUUAAGACUGCAUCGCUUGAAUCCGGGAGAGGUGAGUGGAAUUCCGAGUGUAGAGGUGAAAUUCGUAGAUAUUCGGAAGAACACCAGUGGCGAAGGCGGCUCACUGGACCGGCAUUGACGCUGAGGUGCGAAAGCGUGGGGAGCAAACAGG
Molecule: ribosomal RNA, 253 nt
Filed under: uncultured bacterium
Lineage: Bacteria
Description: partial 16S ribosomal RNA
Rfam family: Bacterial small subunit ribosomal RNA
Source: RNAcentral